UGGUGCCAGCAGCCGCGGUAAUUCCAGCUCCAAUAGCGUAUAUUAAAGUUGUUGCAGUUAAAAAGCUCGUAGUCGAAUUUCGGGGUUAGUAGGUUGGUCAUGCCUCUGGUAUGUACUGAUCUCACUGAUUCCUCCCUCUUGACGAACUGUAAUGUCAUUAAUUUGGUGUUGCAGGAAAUCAGGACUGUUACUUUGAAAAAAUUAGAGUGUUUAAAGCAGGCUAAGGCUUGAAUACAUUAGCAUGGAAUAAUGAAAUAGGACGUUUGAUCCUAUUUUGUUGGCUUCUAGGAUUGACGUAAUGAUUAAUAGGGAUAGUUGGGGGCAUUAGUAUUCAAUUGUCAGAGGUGAAAUUCUUGGAUUUAUUGAAGACUAACUACUGCGAAAGCAUUUGCCAAGGAUGUUUUCAUUAAUCAAGAACGAAAGUUAGGGGAUCGAAGACGAUCAGAUACCGUCGUAGUCUUAACCAUAAACUAUGCCGACUAGGGAUCGGAUGAUGUUAAUUUUUUAAUGACUCAUUCGGCGCCUUA
This 527-nucleotide ribosomal RNA is filed under the name uncultured Glomus. Its description in RNAcentral is "SSU rRNA". It matches the Rfam family "Eukaryotic small subunit ribosomal RNA", at positions 562 to 1090 of the family's 1831-position model. Lineage: Eukaryota; Fungi; Glomeromycota; Glomeromycetes; Glomerales; Glomeraceae. The record is from RNAcentral.